This 570-nucleotide ribosomal RNA is filed under the name Burkholderia sp. UFLA01-732. RNAcentral's name for it is "bacterial SSU rRNA". It matches the Rfam family "Bacterial small subunit ribosomal RNA", at positions 151 to 716 of the family's 1533-position model. The record is from RNAcentral. Lineage: Bacteria; Pseudomonadati; Pseudomonadota; Betaproteobacteria; Burkholderiales; Burkholderiaceae.
GCGAAAGCCGGAUUAAUACCGCAUACGAUCUAUGGAUGAAAGCGGGGGACCUUCGGACCUCGCGCUAUUGGGGUGGCCGAUGGCGGAUUAGCUAGUUGGUGGGGUAAAGGCCUACCAAGGCGACGAUCCGUAGCUGGUCUGAGAGGACGACCAGCCACACUGGGACUGACACACGGCCCACACUCCUACGGGAGGCAGCAGUGGGGAAUUUUGGACAAUGGGCGAAAGCCUGAUCCAGCAAUGCCGCGUGUGUGAAGAAGGCCUUCGGGUUGUAAAGCACUUUUGUCCGGAAAGAAAUCCUGGUGGCUAAUAUCCGCCGGGGAUGACGGUACCGGAAGAAUAAGCACCGGCUAACUACGUGCCAGCAGCCGCGGUAAUACGUAGGGUGCGAGCGUUAAUCGGAAUUACUGGGCGUAAAGCGUGCGCAGGCGGUGAUGUAAGACCGAUGUGAAAUCCCCGGGCUUAACCUGGGAACUGCAUUGGUGACUGCAUCGCUGGAGUAUGGCAGAGGGGGGUAGAAUUCCACGUGUAGCAGUGAAAUGCGUAGAGAUGUGGAGGAAUACCGAUGGC